Molecule: ribosomal RNA, 413 nt
Filed under: uncultured bacterium
Lineage: Bacteria
Description: bacterial SSU rRNA
Rfam family: Bacterial small subunit ribosomal RNA
Source: RNAcentral
GUGCCAGCAGCCGCGGUAAUACGUAGGUGGCGAGCGUUGUCCGGAUUUACUGGGUGUAAAGGGCGCGUAGGCGGGUUCUUAAGUCCGGUGUGAAAUACCUCGGCUCAACCGGGGGGGUGCACUGGAAACUGGGGAUCUUGAGUGCUGGAGAGGGAAGCGGAAUUCCUAGUGUAGCGGUGAAAUGCGUAGAUAUUAGGAGGAACACCAGUGGCGAAGGCGGCUUUCUGGACAGUAACUGACGCUGAGGCGCGAAAGCGUGGGGAGCAAACAGGAUUAGAUACCCUGGUAGUCCACGCCGUAAACGAUGGAUACUAGGUGUGGGAGGUAUCGACCCCUUCCGUGCCGGAGUUAACACAAUAAGUAUCCCACCUGGGGAGUACGGCCGCAAGGUUGAAACUCAAAUGAAUUGACGG